RNAcentral lists this ribosomal RNA (460 nucleotides) under uncultured bacterium. RNAcentral describes it as "partial 16S ribosomal RNA". It matches the Rfam family "Bacterial small subunit ribosomal RNA", at positions 338 to 795 of the family's 1533-position model. The record is from RNAcentral.
ACUACGGGAGGCAGCAGUGAGGAAUAUUGGUCAAUGGACGAGAGUCUGAACCAGCCAAGUAGCGUGAAGGAUGACUGCCCUAUGGGUUGUACACUUCUUUUAUAUGGGAAUAAAAUGUUCCACGUGUGGGACUUUGUAUGUACCAUAUGAAUAAGGCUCGGCUAACUCCGUGCCAGCAGCCGCGGUAAUACGGAGGAUCCGAGCGUUAUCCGGAUUUAUUGGGUGUAAAGGGAGCGUAGGUGGAUUGUUAAGUCAGUUGUGAAAGUUUGCGGCGCAACCGUAAAAUUGCAGUUGAAACUGGCAGUCUUGAGUACAGUAGAGGUGGGCGGAAUUCGUGGUGUAGCGGUGAAAUGCUUAGAUAUCACGAAGAACUCCGAUUGCGAAGGCAGCUCACUGGACUGCAACUGACACUGAGGCUCGAAAGUGUGGGUAUCAAACAGGAUUAGAUACCCCAGUAGUC